CGAUCGAUGUAAUUUUGGUGCCGUGGGGUAGUAUUCAUGAUUCAGAUUGAUAUUUAUAUGUAUGUGGGUAUCAGGUUUUGCGGGUCCAUGGUUUCCAAUAGAUGCAAACAUCUACUGUUAAUUACCCCUUGUAGAUUGGGGCACCUUCGAUUAAGAGACCUUUAUAGAUAGGAUUGAAUGAAUCAUAUCUUGGUUUAUUGAAUCCUAAGUAUAUAUAUUAGGAUUCAGUUGGAUUUGAGGUUGAUUAGGCCCUAAGGAUAUGUGUUAAGACCUAAUCGACAUUAAACUCUAUGUAUUAGAGUCUAAUUGGUUCAUGAGACAUGGGUAUGAGAUCUGGGUAUUGGUUCAUGAGGUUUCGUUUUGGCUCAUGGGAUUUGGUCCAUGAGAUUUGGUUGGUUCAUGGGAUUUGGUCCAUGAGAUUUGGUUUCGGCUCAUGGGAUUUGGUCCAUGAGGUUUGGUUUUGGUUCAUGGGAUUUGGUCCAUGAGGUUUGAUUUUGGUUCAUGGAAUUUGGUCCAUGAGGUUUGGUUUUGGUUCAUGAGAUUUGGUCCAUGAGAUUUAGCUGUGGUUCAUGGGAUUUGGACCAUGAGGUUUAGUUGUGGCUCAUGGGAUUUGGUCAAUGAGGUUUGGUUUUGGCUCAUGGGAUUUGGUCCAUGAGAUUUGGUUUUGGUUCAUGGGAUUUGGUCCAUGAGAUUUGAUUUUGGUUCAUGGGAUUUGGUCCAUUAGAUUUGGUUAUGGUUCAUGGGAUUUGAUCCAUGAGAUUUGAUUUUGGUUCAUGGGAUUUGGUCUAUGAGAUUUGGUUUUGGUUCAUGGGAUUUGGUCCAUGAGUUUUGGUUUUGGUUCAUAGGAUUUGGUCCAUGAGAUUUAGUUCUGUUUCAUGGGAUUUGGUCCAUGAGAUUUGGUUCUGUUUCAUGGGAUUUGGUCCAUGAGUUUUGGUUUUGGUUCAUGGGAUUUGGUCCAUGAACUUGGUUUUGGCUCAUGGGAUUUGGUCCAUGAGAUUUGGUUUUAGUUCAUGGGAUUUGGUCCAUGAGGUUUGGUUGGUUCAUGGGAUUUGGUCCAUGAGGUUUGGUUUUGGCUCAUGGGAUUUGGUCCAUGAGGUUUGGUUUUGGCUCAUGGGAUUUGGUCCAUGAGAUUUGGUUUUGGUUCUAUGUGUGGACUUGGUUUGGGUUUGGAUUUAUUUGGGUCCAAGUUUGGGUUUAUUUGGGUUUUGGGUUUAGGUUUAUUUGGGUUUGGGUUUGGGUUUGAUUUUGGGUUCGGAUUUUAUUUGUAGACUUGAUUUGGAUUGGGUUUGCGUUUGAUUUGAGUUUGGGUUUUGGUUUUAUUUGGGGAAUGGGUUUGGGUUUUAUUUGUGGACUUGAUUUGCUUUGGAUUUGGAUUUUAUUUGGAUUUGGGU
This 1391-nucleotide long non-coding RNA is filed under the name Ananas comosus (pineapple). RNAcentral's name for it is "long non-coding RNA (ACOM_LNC027049)". The record is from RNAcentral. Lineage: Eukaryota; Viridiplantae; Streptophyta; Magnoliopsida; Poales; Bromeliaceae.